This 188-nucleotide ribosomal RNA is filed under the name uncultured Sphingomonas sp. RNAcentral's name for it is "partial 16S ribosomal RNA". It matches the Rfam family "Bacterial small subunit ribosomal RNA", at positions 1126 to 1314 of the family's 1533-position model. Lineage: Bacteria; Pseudomonadati; Pseudomonadota; Alphaproteobacteria; Sphingomonadales; Sphingomonadaceae. The record is from RNAcentral.
UUUAGUUGGGAACUCUAAAGGAACCGCCGGUGAUAAGCCGGAGGAAGGUGGGGAUGACGUCAAGUCCUCAUGGCCCUUACGCGCUGGGCUACACACGUGCUACAAUGGCGGUGACAGUGGGCAGCAAUCCCGCGAGGGUGAGCUAAUCUCCAAAAGCCGUCUCAGUUCGGAUUGUUCUCUGCAACUCG